GACGAACGCUGGCGGCGUGCUUAACACAUGCAAGUCGAACGAAGAGCGAUGGAAGCUUGCUUCUAUCAAUCUUAGUGGCGAACGGGUGAGUAACGCGUAAUCAACCUGCCCUUCAGAGGGGGACAACAGUUGGAAACGACUGCUAAUACCGCAUACGAUCUAAUCUCGGCAUCGAGGAUAGAUGAAAGGCGGCCUCUACAUGUAAGCUAUCACUGAAGGAGGGGAUUGCGUCUGAUUAGCUAGUUGGAGGGGUAACGGCCCACCAAGGCGAUGAUCAGUAGCCGGUCUGAGAGGAUGAACGGCCACAUUGGGACUGAGACACGGCCCAGACUCCUACGGGAGGCAGCAGUGGGGAAUCUUCCGCAAUGGACGAAAGUCUGACGGAGCAACGCCGCGUGAGUGAUGACGGCCUUCGGGUUGUAAAGCUCUGUUAAUCGGGACGAAAGGCCUUCUUGCGAAUAGUGAGAAGGAUUGACGGUACCGGAAUAGAAAGCCACGGCUAACUACGUG
Molecule: ribosomal RNA, 510 nt
Filed under: uncultured bacterium
Lineage: Bacteria
Description: partial 16S ribosomal RNA
Rfam family: Bacterial small subunit ribosomal RNA
Source: RNAcentral